CUAUACAUGCAGUCGAGCGAACGGACGAGAGUGCUUGCACUCUCUGAUGUUAGCGGCGGACGGGUGAGUAACACGUGGGUAACCUACCUAUAAGACUGGGAUAACUUCGGGAAACCGGAGCUAAUACCGGAUAAUAUUUAGCUUCGCAUGAAGCAAUAGUGAAAGACGGUUCUGCUGUCACUUAUAGAUGGACCCGCGGUGUAUUAGCUAGUUGGUGAGGUAACGGCUCACCAAGGCAACGAUACAUAGCCGACCUGAGAGGGUGAUCGGCCACACUGGGACUGAGACACGGCCCAGACUCCUACGGGAGGCAGCAGUAGGGAAUCUUCCGCAAUGGACGAAAGUCUGACGGAGCAACGCCGCGUGAGUGAAGAAGGUUUUCGGAUCGUAAAACUCUGUUGUAAGGGAAGAACAAGUACGUUAGUAACUGAACGUACCUUGACGGUACCUUACCAGAAAGCCACGGCUAACUACGUGCCAGCAGCCGCGGUAAUACGUAGGUGGCAAGCGUUAUCCGGAAUUAUUGGGCGUAAAGCGCGCGUAGGCGGUCUCUUAAGUCUGAUGUGAAAGCCCCCGGCUCAACCGGGGAGGGUCACUGGAAACUGGGAGACUUGAGUGCAGAAGAGGAGAGUGGAAUUCCAUGUGUAGCGGUGAAAUGCGCAGAGAUAUGGAGGAACACCAGUGGCGAAGGCGGCUCUCUGGUCUGUAACUGACGCUGAGGUGCGAAAGCGUGGGGAUCAAACAGGAUUAGAUACCCUGGUAGUCCACGCCGUAAACGAUGAGUGCUAAGUGUUGGGGGGUUUCCGCCCCUCAGUGCUGCAGCU
RNAcentral lists this ribosomal RNA (824 nucleotides) under uncultured Macrococcus sp. Its description in RNAcentral is "bacterial SSU rRNA". It matches the Rfam family "Bacterial small subunit ribosomal RNA", at positions 49 to 853 of the family's 1533-position model. Lineage: Bacteria; Bacillati; Bacillota; Bacilli; Caryophanales; Staphylococcaceae. The record is from RNAcentral.